This 484-nucleotide ribosomal RNA is filed under the name uncultured bacterium. Its description in RNAcentral is "partial 16S ribosomal RNA". It matches the Rfam family "Bacterial small subunit ribosomal RNA", at positions 28 to 523 of the family's 1533-position model. The record is from RNAcentral.
GACGAACGCUGGCGGCGUGCUUAACACAUGCAAGUCGAACGAUGAAGCCGGAGCUUGCUCUGGUGAAUUAGUGGCGAACGGGUGAGUAACACGUGAGUAACCUGCCCUUGACUCUGGGAUAACUGCUAGAAAUGGUAGCUAAUACCGGAUACGACCCUCGGAGGCAUCUCCAGGGGGUGGAAAGAAUUUCGGUCAAGGAUGGACUCGCGGCCUAUCAGCUAGUUGGUGAGGUAACGGCUCACCAAGGCGACGACGGGUAGCCGGCCUGAGAGGCUGACCGGCCCCACUGGGACUGAGACACGGCCCAGACUCCGACGGGAGGCAGCAGUGGGGAAUAUUGCACAAUGGGCGCAAGCCUGAUGCAGCAACGCCGCGUGAGGGAUGACGGCCUUCGGGUUGUAAACCUCUUUUAGUAAGGAAGAAGCGAAAGUGACGGUACCUGCAGAAAAAGCACCGGCUAACUACGUGCCAGCCGCCGCAGUAA